This 497-nucleotide ribosomal RNA is filed under the name uncultured bacterium. Its description in RNAcentral is "partial 16S ribosomal RNA". It matches the Rfam family "Bacterial small subunit ribosomal RNA", at positions 28 to 507 of the family's 1533-position model. The record is from RNAcentral.
GACGAACGCUGGCGGCGUGCCUAAUACAUGCAAGUAGAACGCUGAAGAGAGGAGCUUACUCUUCUUGGAUGAGUUGCGAACGGGUGAGUAACGCGUAGGUAACCUGCCUUGUAGCGGGGGAUAACUAUUGGAAACGAUAGCUAAUACCGCGUAACAAUGGAUGACACAUGUCAUUUAUUUGAAAGGGGCAAUUGCUCCACUACAAGAUGGACCUGCGUUGUAUUAGCUAGUAGGUGAGGUAAUGGCUCACCUAGGCGACGAUACAUAGCCGACCUGAGAGGGUGAUCGGCCACACUGGGACUGAGACACGGCCCAGACUCCUACGGGAGGCAGCAGUAGGGAAUCUUCGGCAAUGGGGGCAACCCUGACCGAGCAACGCCGCGUGAGUGAAGAAGGUUUUCGGAUCGUAAAGCUCUGUUGUAAGUCAAGAACGGGUGUGAGAGUGGAAAGUUCACACUGUGACGGUAGCUUACCAGAAAGGGACGGCUAACUACGUG